UUAAGCGACUAAGCGUACACGGUGGAUGCCCUGGCAGUCAGAGGCGAUGAAGGACGUGCUAAUCUGCGAUAAGCGUCGGUGAGGUGAUAUGAACCGUUAUAACCGGCGAUUUCCGAAUGGGGAAACCCAGUGUGUUUCGACACACUAUCAUUAACUGAAUCCAUAGGUUAAUGAGGCGAACCGGGGGAACUGAAACAUCUAAGUACCCCGAGGAAAAGAAAUCAACCGAGAUUCCCCCAGUAGCGGCGAGCGAACGGGGAGGAGCCCAGAGCCUGAAUCAGUGUGUGUGUUAGUGGAAGCGUCUGGAAAGGCGCGCGAUACAGGGUGACAGCCCCGUACACAAAAAUGCACAUACUGUGAGCUCGAUGAGUAGGGCGGGACACGUGGUAUCCUGUCUGAAUAUGGGGGGACCAUCCUCCAAGGCUAAAUACUCCUGACUGACCGAUAGUGAACCAGUACCGUGAGGGAAAGGCGAAAAGAACCCCGGCGAGGGGAGUGAAAAAGAACCUGAAACCGUGUACGUACAAGCAGUGGGAGCCUCUUAAUGGGGUGACUGCGUACCUUUUGUAUAAUGGGUCAGCGACUUAUAUUCUGUAGCAAGGUUAACCGAAUAGGGGAGCCGAAGGGAAACCGAGUCUUAACUGGGCGUUAAGUUGCAGGGUAUAGACCCGAAACCCGGUGAUCUAGCCAUGGGCAGGUUGAAGGUUGGGUAACACUAACUGGAGGACCGAACCGACUAAUGUUGAAAAAUUAGCGGAUGACUUGUGGCUGGGGGUGAAAGGCCAAUCAAACCGGGAGAUAGCUGGUUCUCCCCGAAAGCUAUUUAGGUAGCGCCUCGUGAAUUCAUCUCCGGGGGUAGAGCACUGUUUCGGCAAGGGGGUCAUCCCGACUUACCAACCCGAUGCAAACUGCGAAUACCGGAGAAUGUUAUCACGGGAGACACACGGCGGGUGCUAACGUCCGUCGUGAAGAGGGAAACAACCCAGACCGCCAGCUAAGGUCCCAAAGUCAUGGUUAAGUGGGAAACGAUGUGGGAAGGCCCAGACAGCCAGGAUGUUGGCUUAGAAGCAGCCAUCAUUUAAAGAAAGCGUAAUAGCUCACUGGUCGAGUCGGCCUGCGCGGAAGAUGUAACGGGGCUAAACCAUGCACCGAAGCUGCGGCAGCGACACUAUGUGUUGUUGGGUAGGGGAGCGUUCUGUAAGCCUGUGAAGGUGUGCUGUGAGGCAUGCUGGAGGUAUCAGAAGUGCGAAUGCUGACAUAAGUAACGAUAAAGCGGGUGAAAAGCCCGCUCGCCGGAAGACCAAGGGUUCCUGUCCAACGUUAAUCGGGGCAGGGUGAGUCGACCCCUAAGGCGAGGCCGAAAGGCGUAGUCGAUGGGAAACAGGUUAAUAUUCCUGUACUUGGUGUUACUGCGAAGGGGGGACGGAGAAGGCUAUGUUGGCCGGGCGACGGUUGUCCCGGUUUAAGCGUGUAGGCUGGUUUUCCAGGCAAAUCCGGAAAACCAAGGCUGAGACGUGAUGACGAGGCACUACGGUGCUGAAGCGACAAAUGCCCUGCUUCCAGGAAAAGCCUCUAAGCAUCAGGUAACAUUAAAUCGUACCCCAAACCGACACAGGUGGUCAGGUAGAGAAUACCAAGGCGCUUGAGAGAACUCGGGUGAAGGAACUAGGCAAAAUGGUGCCGUAACUUCGGGAGAAGGCACGCUGAUAUGUAGGUGAAGCGACUUGCUCGUGGAGCUGAAAUCAGUCGAAGAUACCAGCUGGCUGCAACUGUUUAUUAAAAACACAGCACUGUGCAAACACGAAAGUGGACGUAUACGGUGUGACGCCUGCCCGGUGCCGGAAGGUUAAUUGAUGGGGUUAGCGGUAACGCGAAGCUCUUGAUCGAAGCCCCGGUAAACGGCGGCCGUAACUAUAACGGUCCUAAGGUAGCGAAAUUCCUUGUCGGGUAAGUUCCGACCUGCACGAAUGGCGUAAUGAUGGCCAGGCUGUCUCCACCCGAGACUCAGUGAAAUUGAACUCGCUGUGAAGAUGCAGUGUACCCGCGGCAAGACGGAAAGACCCCGUGAACCUUUACUAUAGCUUGACACUGAACAUUGAGCCUUGAUGUGUAGGAUAGGUGGGAGGCUUUGAAGUGUGGACGCCAGUCUGCAUGGAGCCGACCUUGAAAUACCACCCUUUAAUGUUUGAUGUUCUAACGUUGGCCCGUAAUCCGGGUUGCGGACAGUGUCUGGUGGGUAGUUUGACUGGGGCGGUCUCCUCCUAAAGAGUAACGGAGGAGCACGAAGGUUGGCUAAUCCUGGUCGGACAUCAGGAGGUUAGUGCAAUGGCAUAAGCCAGCUUGACUGCGAGCGUGACGGCGCGAGCAGGUGCGAAAGCAGGUCAUAGUGAUCCGGUGGUUCUGAAUGGAAGGGCCAUCGCUCAACGGAUAAAAGGUACUCCGGGGAUAACAGGCUGAUACCGCCCAAGAGUUCAUAUCGACGGCGGUGUUUGGCACCUCGAUGUCGGCUCAUCACAUCCUGGGGCUGAAGUAGGUCCCAAGGGUAUGGCUGUUCGCCAUUUAAAGUGGUACGCGAGCUGGGUUUAGAACGUCGUGAGACAGUUCGGUCCCUAUCUGCCGUGGGCGCUGGAGAACUGAGGGGGGCUGCUCCUAGUACGAGAGGACCGGAGUGGACGCAUCACUGGUGUUCGGGUUGUCAUGCCAAUGGCACUGCCCGGUAGCUAAAUGCGGAAGAGAUAAGUGCUGAAAGCAUCUAAGCACGAAACUUGCCCCGAGAUGAGUUCUCCCUGACUCCUUGAGGGUCCUGAAGGAACGUUGAAGACGACGACGUUGAUAGGCCGGGUGUGUAAGCGCAGCGAUGCGUUGAGCUAACCGGUACUAAUGAACCGUGAGGCUUAACCUU
RNAcentral lists this ribosomal RNA (2902 nucleotides) under Escherichia coli 07798. Its description in RNAcentral is "bacterial LSU rRNA". It matches the Rfam family "Bacterial large subunit ribosomal RNA". Lineage: Bacteria; Pseudomonadati; Pseudomonadota; Gammaproteobacteria; Enterobacterales; Enterobacteriaceae. The record is from RNAcentral.